This 253-nucleotide ribosomal RNA is filed under the name uncultured bacterium. RNAcentral's name for it is "partial 16S ribosomal RNA". It matches the Rfam family "Bacterial small subunit ribosomal RNA", at positions 524 to 776 of the family's 1533-position model. The record is from RNAcentral.
UACGUAGGGGGCAAGCGUUGUCCGGAAUUAUUGGGCGUAAAGCGCGUGUAGGCGGCUCGGUAAGUCUGCUGUGAAAGUCUAGGGCUCAACCCUGGAAUGCCGGUGGAUACUGUCGAGCUAGAGUCCGGAAGAGGCGAGUGGAAUUCCUGGUGUAGCGGUGAAAUGCGCAGAUAUCAGGAGGAACACCAAUGGCGAAGGCAGCUCGCUGGGACGGUACUGACGCUGAGGCGCGACAGCGUGGGGAUCAAACAGG